This 72-nucleotide transfer RNA is filed under the name Hofstenia miamia. Its description in RNAcentral is "tRNA-Pro for anticodon AGG". It matches the Rfam family "tRNA". Rfam says of the family: Transfer RNA (tRNA) molecules are approximately 80 nucleotides in length. Their secondary structure includes four short double-helical elements and three loops (D, anti-codon, and T loops). Lineage: Eukaryota; Metazoa; Xenacoelomorpha; Acoela; Hofsteniidae. The record is from RNAcentral.
GGGUUAGUGGUCUAGUGGUAUGAUUCUCGUUUAGGGUGCGAGAUGUCCCGGGUUCAAUUCCCGGCUAACUCC